RNAcentral lists this ribosomal RNA (476 nucleotides) under uncultured bacterium. RNAcentral's name for it is "bacterial SSU rRNA". It matches the Rfam family "Bacterial small subunit ribosomal RNA", at positions 335 to 800 of the family's 1533-position model. The record is from RNAcentral.
ACUCCUACGGGAGGCAGCAGUGGGGAAUAUUGCACAAUGGGGGGAAACCCUGAUGCAGCCAUGCCGCGUGUGUGAAGAAGGCCUUCGGGUUGUAAAGCACUUUCAGUAGGGAGGAAGGUAGUGUAGUUAACACCUGCACUAUUUGACGUUACCUACAGAAGAAGCACCGGCUAACUCCGUGCCAGCAGCCGCGGUAAUACGGAGGGUGCGAGCGUUAAUCGGAAUUACUGGGCGUAAAGCGCAUGCAGGCGGCCUGUUAAGUCAGAUGUGAAAGCCCGGGGCUUAACCUCGGAAUUGCAUUUGAAACUGGCAGGCUAGAGUCUUGUAGAGGGGGGUAGAAUUUCAGGUGUAGCGGUGAAAUGCGUAGAGAUCUGAAGGAAUACCAGUGGCGAAGGCGGCCCCCUGGACAAAGACUGACGCUCAGAUGCGAAAAGCGUGGGGAGCAAAACAGGAUUAGAUACCCUGUAGCACAGAGC